AGAGCGAACGCUGGCGGCAGGCCUAACACAUGCAAGUCGAACGCACCUUCGGGUGAGUGGCGGACGGGUGAGUAACACGUGGGAACGUGCCCUUUGGUUCGGAACAACACAGGGAAACUUGUGCUAAUACCGGAUAAGCCCUUCGGGGGAAAGAUUUAUCGCCAUUGGAGCGGCCCGCGUCUGAUUAGCUUGUUGGUGAGGUAAAGGCUCACCAAGGCUACGAUCAGUAGCUGGUCUGAGAGGAUGAUCAGCCACACUGGGACUGAGACACGGCCCAGACUCCUACGGGAGGCAGCAGUGGGGAAUCUUGCGCAAUGGGCGAAAGCCUGACGCAGCGACGCCGCGUGGGGGAUGAAGGCCUUCGGGUUGUAAACCCCUUUCAGCAGGGACGAAGCGAAAGUGACGGUACCUGCAGAAGAAGCGCCGGCUAACUACGCGCCAGCAGCCGC
RNAcentral lists this ribosomal RNA (449 nucleotides) under uncultured bacterium. RNAcentral's name for it is "SSU rRNA". It matches the Rfam family "Bacterial small subunit ribosomal RNA", at positions 26 to 518 of the family's 1533-position model. The record is from RNAcentral.